GACGAACGCUGGCGGCGUGCUUAACACAUGCAAGUCGAACGGAAAGGCCCUGCUUUUGUGGGGUGCUCGAGUGGCGAACGGGUGAGCAACACGUGAGUAACCUGCCCUUGACUUUGGGAUAACUUCAGGAAACUGGGGCUAAUACCGGAUAGGAGCUCCUGCUGCAUGGUGGGGGUUGGAAAGUUUCGGCGGUUGGGGAUGGACUCGCGGCUUAUCAGCUUGUUGGUGGGGUAGUGGCUUACCAAGGCUUUGACGGGUAGCCGGCCUGAGAGGGUGACCGGCCACAUUGGGACUGAGAUACGGCCCAGACUCCUACGGGAGGCAGCAGUGGGGAAUAUUGCACAAUGGGCGGAAGCCUGAUGCAGCAACGCCGCGUGCGGGAUGACGGCCUUCGGGUUGUAAACCGCUUUCGCCUGUGACGAAGCGUGAGUGACGGUAAUGGGUAAAGAAGCACCGGCUAACUACGUGCCAGCAGCCGCGGCGAUACGUAGGGUGCGAGCGUUGUCCGGAUUUAUUGGGCGUAAAGGGCUCGUAGGUGGUUGAUCGCGUCGGAAGUGUAAUCUUGGGGCUUAACCCUGAGCGUGCUUUCGAUACGGGUUGACUUGAGGAAGGUAGGGGAGAAUGGAAUUCCUGGUGGAGCGGUGGAAUGCGCAGAUAUCAGGAGGAACACCAGUGGCGAAGGCGGUUCUCUGGGCCUUUCCUGACGCUGAGGAGCGAAAGCGUGGGGAGCGAACAGGCUUAGAUACCCUGGUAGUCCACGCUGUAAACGGUGGGUACUAGGUGUGGGGUCCAUUCCACGGGUUCCGUGCCGUAGCUAACGCUUUAAGUACCCCGCCUGGGGAGUACGGCCGCAAGGCUAAAACUCAAAGGAAUUGGCGGGGCCCCGCACAAGCGGCGGAGCAUGCGGAUUAAUUCGAUGCAACGCGUGGAACCUUACCUGGGUUUGACAUGGAUCGGGAGUGCUCAGAGAUGGGUGUGCCUCUUUUGGGGUCGGUUCACAGGUGGUGCAUGCCUGUCGUCAGCUCGUGUCGUGAGAUGUUGGGUUAAGUCCCGCAACGAGCGCAACCCUUGUUCACUGUUGCCAGCACGUUAUGGUGGGGACUCAGUGGAGACCGCCGGGGUCAACUCGGAGGAAGGUGGGGAUGACGUCAAGUCCUCAUGCCCCUUAUGUCCAGGGCUUCACGCAUGCUACAAUGGCUGGUACAGAGAGUGGCGAGCCUGUGAGGGUGAGCGAAUCUCGGAAAGCCGGUCUCAGUUCGGAUUGGGGUCUGCAACUCGACCUCAUGAAGUCGGAGUCGCUAGUAAUCGCAGAUCAGCAACGCUGCGGUGAAUACGUUCCCGGGGCU
This 1346-nucleotide ribosomal RNA is filed under the name uncultured bacterium. RNAcentral's name for it is "bacterial SSU rRNA". It matches the Rfam family "Bacterial small subunit ribosomal RNA", at positions 28 to 1381 of the family's 1533-position model. The record is from RNAcentral.